AUUGAACGCUGGCGGCAUGCCUUACACAUGCAAGUCGAACGGCAGCGGACCUUCGGGUGCCGGCGAGUGGCGAACGGGUGAGUAAUAUAUCGGAACGUACCUUUCAGUGGGGGAUAACGUAGCGAAAGUUACGCUAAUACCGCAUAUUCUGUGAGCAGGAAAGCAGGGGAUCGCAAGACCUUGCGCUGAUUGAGCGGCCGAUAUCAGAUUAGCUAGUUGGUGAGGUAAAGGCUCACCAAGGCGACGAUCUGUAGCGGGUCUGAGAGGAUGAUCCGCCACACUGGAACUGAGACACGGUCCAGACUCCUACGGGAGGCAGCAGUGGGGAAUUUUGGACAAUGGGCGCAAGCCUGAUCCAGCCAUGCCGCGUGAGUGAAGAAGGCCUGGUUGUAAGA
This 395-nucleotide ribosomal RNA is filed under the name uncultured bacterium. RNAcentral describes it as "bacterial SSU rRNA". It matches the Rfam family "Bacterial small subunit ribosomal RNA", at positions 30 to 430 of the family's 1533-position model. The record is from RNAcentral.